GUGAAGCCUGUGUAACAUUUGUGACUCAGCUUCUGACUGUUCAGUGCAGGGCAAUUCCCCCAGCUGGGGAAAAAACCCACUGGGGCUCCCUGAUGCCCCACGGGAGGAGCUUUGACCAAGGGGCUCCAUGGCAACUUGCGUUUUUCAGACCAGGGCCAGUGGAGAGCUGCCAGAGCAGCGAGGAGAGGAACGGCGUCGGACGCCGGUGGAGAUGAAAGUGGGGAGAGCGGCACACGGGCUCCAGGGAGGGACAGCGAGGAGGAGAGAGCUUCAGCCCAUCCCCAGCACCACGGCUGCUGGAUAUCCCCUGUAACAUGAGUGGGGGAUCUGGACACAGUUACAAGAGAUAUUUUUCAAGAUCUUUUCAGCCUACCACUGGGCUCUUUUGAUGUGAACUGUCACUGAUCUGGAGUGAUGAUACAGCAAAAGUGUGACAUGAUGGGUUUCUUCACACCUCAGUCAUCCAUAUGUUGAUGAGAACAGUUCCAGAUCAAUUGUGCUGCUGUGCAUAAAACCCUCUAAAAUAAAAUAUUUU
This 535-nucleotide long non-coding RNA is filed under the name Cyanistes caeruleus (blue tit). Its description in RNAcentral is "lncRNA (ENSCCEG00000006998.1)". Lineage: Eukaryota; Metazoa; Chordata; Aves; Passeriformes; Paridae. The record is from RNAcentral.